GAACGAGAAAGUGGAGCAAUCCAUGAGUACAGUGGCGUACGGGUGAGUAACACGUGACUAACCUACCCUCGAGUGGGGAAUAACCUCGGGAAACCGGGGCUAAUACCGCAUAACAUCUUCGGAUCAAAUGCGUAAGCAGCUUGAGGAGGGGGUCGCGGCCGAUUAGCUAGUUGGCGGGGUAACGGCCCACCAAGGCGAUGAUCGGUAGCCGGCCUGAGAGGGCGCACGGCCACACUGGAACUGAAACACGGUCCAGACUCCUACGGGAGGCAGCAGUGGGGAAUUUUGCGCAAUGGGGGAAACCCUGACGCAGCAACGCCGCGUGGAGGAUGAAGCCCUUUGGGGCGUAAACUCCUUUCGAUCGGGACGAUUAUGACGGUACCGGAUGAAGAAGCACCGGCUAACUCUGUG
Molecule: ribosomal RNA, 411 nt
Filed under: uncultured bacterium
Lineage: Bacteria
Description: bacterial SSU rRNA
Rfam family: Bacterial small subunit ribosomal RNA
Source: RNAcentral